GAUCCUGGCUCAGGACGAACGCUGGCGGCGUUCCUAACACAUGCAAGUCGAACGGAACUGUUUUGAAAGAUUUCUUCGGAGUGAAUUUGAUUUAGUUUAGUGGCGGACGGGUGAGUAACGCGUGAGUAACCUGUCUUCAAGAGGGGGAUAACAUUCUGAAAAGAAUGCUAAUACCGCAUGAUAUAUCGGAACCACAUGGUUCUGAUAUCAAAGAUUUUAUCGCUUGAAGAUGGACUCGCGUCCGAUUAG
This 249-nucleotide ribosomal RNA is filed under the name uncultured bacterium. RNAcentral's name for it is "partial 16S ribosomal RNA". It matches the Rfam family "Bacterial small subunit ribosomal RNA", at positions 15 to 244 of the family's 1533-position model. The record is from RNAcentral.